Molecule: long non-coding RNA, 191 nt
Organism: Cyprinus carpio (common carp)
Lineage: Eukaryota; Metazoa; Chordata; Actinopteri; Cypriniformes; Cyprinidae
Exons: 4
Source: RefSeq, a predicted model, not a curated record
GUGCAACAGCAAACUAGAUCCAACUACGACCUCAUUCCUCAAGAUGGCUGAUGCUGGGGGAUGCCACAGCUGACUCAGCCCAGCAAACUGACAGAAGCGUUUAAGUACUUCAUUCAAGGCAUGGGAUACAUGGCGUCGUCCUGCAUGACGCGUCUCUCGCGCUCGCGCACCACCUCGCUUUCAUCCUCGUC